This is a long non-coding RNA of Hemiscyllium ocellatum (epaulette shark), 1849 nucleotides long. RefSeq lists it as uncharacterized. The record is from RefSeq and is a predicted model, not a curated record. The transcript has 4 exons. Lineage: Eukaryota; Metazoa; Chordata; Chondrichthyes; Orectolobiformes; Hemiscylliidae.
CCAGAGGAAGGAGGAGUGAAACUCUUUGCAAGAGAGAUUUUCACCAUCACCCAUUAAGCCAGUUGAGGCUUACCUAAUUGCAUUAUGAAGAUCAGGGAUAUCCCACAACCAAAACUGCUUCAGACUAAUGGAAACCUUCAUCUGCAAGUUCAUCACAGGUUGGUCAACAGAGUUUUGUUUCUGAACCAGUUGUCCUUUUGGAACUAAUUGAACUCCUGCUGCUAUCUUCAGAAUGGUGAAGUCAAGCCAUGCACGCAGACUCAAAGGAACGUUGUAAGGACUUUUCUGAAGUGAGAAGUUUGUUGCUGCUGUGUGUCAAUGAACAAACUUGCUUCAAACUCUGCUGUCAUUUUUACUGCUAUCAUUUCCAGAAAGUGGCAGUAAACAGAUUUGAAGAUGGUAACCAGUGAUUUCAGGACACUAUUCCGAAGCAAUGUGGUGCCAUCUUCAUCGGUGACCUGACCAAGAAUUACUCUUUGACAAGCAGAAGUGAUUGCUUACUAUAGUUUUGCCGGUUAUGAGGCUUUGCGAGGUGCAGCUUUGUCGCCAAGUCUCCUGUACUAACUACGUUUCAAAAUCACUUUAUCAGUUAUAAAAUGUUCUGGGGCAUCCCGAGGUAGUGAGAGAAGCUAUAUAAAUGCACACCUUUCUUUCUGUCACUGCCUCUAUUGCAAAUAUUCAGUGAUGCCAAGGUGGAGUACAAGAAGCAGUAGGGGAAUUAACUGCACUGAGUUGGCAUGUUGGAUUUAAACCCUGAACCAGUGUCACAAACCUCUUCAGCCCCAAUGGCAGUUUGAUAUGUCCCUACUCCAUUAUUGCAGAUGCUUGAAGGAGAAAUAUUGCUUCCCCACCCAAUCUGUUCAAAGCAUCCGAUCCAAGAAAACCCACAUGAACCAACAUCUGAAAGCACCAAGUCAAUCAGUUAACAUGGGCACCUGGCAUGCAACUGUUAGAAGUGGGACAACUGAAUAAGUUAAAGACCAAUUUGGAGAAAUAACCAGAUGGAUGUUUACCAGGAAUGCAAUCCAUGAAGCAAAUAUGACUUGUGACAUCUAGCAGAGUCUUUUAUUGGAGGUUUCAAACAUCAGGUACAAGAUGAAAUGUAGCUUUGUAGAAACAAAGUGUAGGGUGGAUGACUAUUUAUAGACUACAGAAGGAUAUUGAGGGCCAAGAGGUUCAAGCUUCACUGGUUUUGAAGAUGACUUUAGACUUGGGUAGAGAGCACACAGAUUAAGAGUUUGCCGGAAAGCCCCUCCUGAAUCCGAGCACCAGAAAGAAAGCCAUUCUUCAAUACAGUUCUUCAGCUCCAAACCAAAACCAACAUCUGCUGAGAAACAUAUACCACAGGCACUGGCCUAAGGAGCUUCCAAAGUGCUGUAUACACAGGGUAGAUUGAUGUGAUGGUAGCAUCAAUAGGGAUUCUGCUGCUUUUCAUAAAAUGCAAGGAAACAGCAAAGCUUGGAACUAUGCCUACAGCAGAUUGCCUGCUAUAGCCUGAUAAAUUAUCAUCACAGUUAGCCACAACAUGCUGUUGAUAAUUCAGGAAUUCUCAAUGAUCAGGAUCAAAUCUCUGGCGUAAUUAUGCUUUAUCUGUACCUUUCCAUUACUUGUUCAAUAUCUCUAAUAGUAAAUCUGAACUGAAUUCCAAGGCCUGAGUGAUGAUUACUAACAAAGCCCAUUGCUUCUGAACUGAAUGGCCUUUAUAUGAAUGCAGUCAUUUGUCAAUUUUAACAUCAGCCCAUAGAGAGCACAUCAUUUUUGUACUUUCAGGCAUUGAAUGCACUUGUCAUUGAUGAAAUUGCAUGCAUGGUUUACCUGUGACAUUAUGUGAUGCACUAUAGAGUAAGCU